CAAUAGCGUAUAUUAAAGUUGUUGCAGUUAAAAAGCUCGUGGUUGGAUUUCUGGUGGGAGCGAUCGGUCUGGCGCUUAGCGCGAGUACUUGCAUCGUCUCCGGCCAUCCUUGGGGAGAGUCUGUCUGGCAUUAAGUUGUCGGGCAGAGGAUCCUCAUCGUUUACUGUGAAAAAAUUAGAGUGUUCAAAGCAGGCUUAUGCCGUUGAAUAUAUUAGCAUGGAAUAAUAAGAUAGGACUUUGGUACUAUUUUGUUGGUUUGCGCACCAAAGUAAUGAUUAAUAGGGACAGUUGGGGGUAUUCGUAUUCCGUUGUCAGAGGUGAAAUUCUUGGAUUUACGGAAGACGAACUACUGCGAAAGCAUUUACCAAGGAUGUUUUCAUUAA
Molecule: ribosomal RNA, 383 nt
Filed under: uncultured eukaryote
Lineage: Eukaryota
Description: partial 18S ribosomal RNA
Rfam family: Eukaryotic small subunit ribosomal RNA
Source: RNAcentral